This 468-nucleotide ribosomal RNA is filed under the name uncultured bacterium. RNAcentral's name for it is "partial 16S ribosomal RNA". It matches the Rfam family "Bacterial small subunit ribosomal RNA", at positions 28 to 507 of the family's 1533-position model. The record is from RNAcentral.
GACGAACGCUGGCGGCGUGCUUAGCACAUGCAAGUCGAACGGAAAGGCCCUGCUUUUGUGGGGUGCUCGAGUGGCGAACGGGUGUGUAACACGUGAGUAACCUGCCCUUGACUUUGGGAUAACUUCAGGAAACUGGGGCUAAUACCGGAUAGGAGCUCCUACUGCAUGGUGGGGGUUGGAAAGUUUCGGCGGUUGGGGAUGGACUCGCGGCUUAUCAGCUUGUUGGUGGGGUAGUGGCUUACCAAGGCUUUGACGGGUAGCCGGCCUGAGAGGGUGACCGGCCACAUUGGGACUGAGAUACGGCCCAGACUCCUACGGGAGGCAGCAGUGGGGAAUAUUGCACAAUGGGCGGAAGCCUGAUGCAGCAACGCCGCGUGCGGGAUGACGGCCUUCGGGUUGUAAACCGCUUUCGCCUGUGACGAAGCGUGAGUGACGGUAAUGGGUAAAGAAGCACCGGCUAACUACGUG